GAUGAACGCUGGCGGCGUGCUUAACACAUGCAAGUCGAACGAUGAAGCCCAGCUUGCUGGGUGGAUUAGUGGCGAACGGGUGAGUAACACGUGAGUAACCUGCCCUUAACUCUGGGAUAGGCCUGGUAAACUGGGUCUAAUACCGGAUAGAAGCGCCUACCGCAUGGAGGGUGUUGGAAAGAUUUAGCGGUUUUGGGUGGACUCGCGGCCUAUCAGCUUGUUAGUGAGGUAAUGGUUCACUAAGGGAAAGACGGGUAGCCGGCCUGAGAGGGUGACCGGCCACACUGGGACUGAGACACGGCGCAGACGCCUACGGGAGGCAGCAGUGGGGAAUAUUGCACAACGGCCGAAAGCCUGAUGCAGCGACGCCGCGUGAGGGAUGACGGCCUUCGGGUUGUAAACCUCUUUCAGUAGAGAAGAAGCGAAGGUGACGGUACCUGCAGAAGAAGCACCGGCUAACUACGUG
Molecule: ribosomal RNA, 466 nt
Filed under: uncultured bacterium
Lineage: Bacteria
Description: partial 16S ribosomal RNA
Rfam family: Bacterial small subunit ribosomal RNA
Source: RNAcentral